AUUUGGGAAGGGCCUCUUUCUGCCCCCUGCCCGCUCUGCUUUUCCUCCUUCUUCCAUCCUACGAAGGGCUCCAGCAGCUGUCCUGGACCAUGAGGUGGCCUUGAGGAAGAAGCCACAAGCUAGGAGGGAGGAGCAGAAAGAUAGGGACCUGAGCCCCUGAUGACACCACAGAGCCGCCAUACUUGUCCUGCAUGGCCAACGUGUAGAUCUGGACACGAGAGAGAUAAGCUUCUGUCUUGUGCAAGCUACCACCCCCACCGAAGUCCCAUGUGAAUAUCCAGUACCCCAAGGACACUUGCAAUGUCACACUGGCCUCACGCUUUCACUUUCUGAUGAACGUGGCCUUGACACAUCUCCAACUGACACCUGUUGAAACAAAUGUACCUUUCCAUCCUACAGGACGUCCACAUAUAACAAAAGACAUGAUUACACCGUAGGUCCAAGCUUUCAGCUCUACCAGAAGGACUGGAAUAUGUGGAAAUUCAGGGCCCACCUUCCCAUUUGGCCUUGCACUGGGGAGCAGCUGGACUUAGAAGAAGAACUUGCUCUUCAGAGCUGGACAGUGUCCCUGACCAGAUGAGGAAACUGAGGCACAGAAAAGGAUGAGGAUGAGCCAGAAUUCAAAGCCAGGCAGUCUGAUUCUGAGCCUAUCCACUCAACCACCUUGCACAGCUCCCUCUAAUGCAAAGACCCCUCAUAAGGGCCAGGAGUUUUACUAACAUUGCCAGAAGUCUCGCAGCAAACUGGGGGCCUCACACACGAUCUAGCCGCACAUUAGAACCAGCUGAGAAGGCUGUAAAGCACACCUAGGCCUGGAGCAAACACCAUAAUGGGUUGUCAUCUGGGGACUCGAAUGAAGAGUGAUGCGGAAGCCCUGCGCUCUCCUUGUACUGUUUUUGUACCUCUCAAGUUUCAUCAAAAUUUUUUUUAAAAAGUGAAAGUAACUAAAGAACGUAGUAGGACAAUAUUAGCUGACCUGGAGGGAUUUCUCCAGGAAUUGUUAGCAAGAGGUGCUAAUAAAAGUGUUACUUACAAGAUCCAGAAACGUGCGUGUGUGUGAUGUGAUC
Molecule: long non-coding RNA, 1067 nt
Organism: Bos taurus (domestic cattle)
Lineage: Eukaryota; Metazoa; Chordata; Mammalia; Artiodactyla; Bovidae
Source: Ensembl